Molecule: ribosomal RNA, 738 nt
Filed under: uncultured bacterium
Lineage: Bacteria
Description: bacterial SSU rRNA
Rfam family: Bacterial small subunit ribosomal RNA
Source: RNAcentral
GUUUGAACCUGGCUCAGGAUGAACGCCGGCGGUGUGCCUAAUACAUGCAAGUCGUACGCACUGGCCCAACUGAUUGAUGGUGCUUGCACCUGAUUGACGAUGGAUCACCAGUGAGUGGCGGACGGGUGAGUAACACGUAGGUAACCUGCCCCGGAGCGGGGGAUAACAUUUGGAAACAGAUGCUAAUACCGCAUAACAACAAAAGCCACAUGGCUUUUGUUUGAAAGAUGGCUUUGGCUAUCACUCUGGGAUGGACCUGCGGUGCAUUAGCUAGUUGGUAAGGUAACGGCUUACCAAGGCGAUGAUGCAUAGCCGAGUUGAGAGACUGAUCGGCCACAAUGGAACUGAGACACGGUCCAUACUCCUACGGGAGGCAGCAGUAGGGAAUCUUCCACAAUGGGCGCAAGCCUGAUGGAGCAACACCGCGUGAGUGAAGAAGGGUUUCGGCUCGUAAAGCUCUGUUGUUGGAGAAGAACGUGCGUGAGAGUAACUGUUUACGCAGUGACGGUAUCCAACCAGAAAGUCACGGCUAACUACGUGCCAGCAGCCGCGGUAGUACGUAGGUGGCAAGCGUUAUCCGGAUUUAUUGGGCGUAAAGCGAGCGCAGGCGGUUGCUUAGGUCUGAUGUGAAAGCCUUCGGCUUAACCGAAGAAGUGCAUCGGAAACCGGGCGACUUGAGUGCAGAAGAGGACAGUGGAACUCCAUGUGUAGCGGUGGAAUGCGUAGAUAUAUGGAAGA